RNAcentral lists this long non-coding RNA (726 nucleotides) under Phascolarctos cinereus (koala). Its description in RNAcentral is "lncRNA (ENSPCIG00000019475.2)". The record is from RNAcentral. Lineage: Eukaryota; Metazoa; Chordata; Mammalia; Diprotodontia; Phascolarctidae.
GCUUGUUCGUGCAGUCAUAGACACGCAUCGUAAGACCAAUAUAACUAAAUUACAAAGUGUGCAGAGGAACACAGCCAGGAUGGCUAUGGGCUUCAAGAUGAAGCUACGCCAUUAUCGGUUGAAGAAACUGAGGAUGUAUAGGCAAAAGAACAAAAAUUCAGACUGAGCUGGAGGUGUUUUAUUUAUCGGUUGGGACUUCAUUGGCAGCAAUGGGUGACUUUGAAGGUGAAGGUGAAGAGAAGUGAAGGACAGGUCUUUCUCAGGUAUGCUCAGUGCCAAUUAAUGACACAGAAAGCAAGGAAAAAUGAGAAGUGGGUCCUGGCUGCUGAGGAACCUGGAUCACAGGAGGUAGAGAUACACGGAGCCAGCCGACAUCCCCUGUUCAAAGACAAAUGCCUUUUGUCUUCUGGUGGUUCCCUUAUCUCUCUAGCAGUACAUACCUACUCGAUGGAGCCUCAGCGUGGCCUCCAAUCCUGCCAUCCUUCACAGGAGCAAGACGCAGAAUCUCAAACCCUCAAGGUGUGGAAGAAGCACAGGGAGUCCAAAGCAAGGCCAAUCAAGAUUCCCUGGUCAGCCAGCCUUUGCCUGAAGAAUUAGAAUUAGAGAAGAACCUUUCACCUCCAGAGGUGGCCUGUUCUACUUUUGGACAGCUCUGAUUGCUACUACAACUCUUCUUCAAAGAAGCCACUCCUCCCUUUUUGGGCAAUUUUUAAUCGUGCCUUGUUA